Molecule: ribosomal RNA, 1154 nt
Filed under: human gut metagenome
Description: bacterial SSU rRNA
Rfam family: Bacterial small subunit ribosomal RNA
Source: RNAcentral
AGAGUUUGAUCCUGGCUCAGAACGAACGCUGGCGGCAGGCUUAACACAUGCAAGUUGAACGGGAUUUGUAUGGUGCUUGCACCAUGUAAUGAGAGUAGCGCACUGGUGAGUAACACGUGGGAACAUACCUUGAAGUGGGGGACAACAGUUGGAAACGACUGCUAAUACCGCAUAAUCCCUGAGGGGGAAAGAUUUAUCGCUUUAAGAUUGGCCCGCGGAAGAUUAGGUAGUUGGUGGGGUAAAGGCCUACCAAGCCGACGAUCUAUAGCUGGUCUGAGAGGACGAACAGCCACAUUGGAACUGAGACACGGUCCAGACUCCUACGGGAGGCAGCAGUGAGGAAUAUUGGGCAAUGGAGGAAACUCUGACCCAGCCAUGCCGCGUGAGUGAAGAAGGUUUUCGAAUUGUAAAGCUCUUUCGGAUGGGACGAUGAUGACGGUACCAUCUAAAGAAGCCCCGGCAAACUUCGUGCCAGCAGCCGCGGUAAUACGAAGGGGGCAAGCGUUGUUCGGAAUUACUGGGCGUAAAGGGUGUGUAGGCGGAUUUGUAAGAUAGUGGUGAAAUACCUGAGCUCAACUUAGGAAUUGCCAUUAUAACUAUAGAUCUGGAGUGACAGAGAGGAUAGUGGAAUACCCAGUGUAGCGGUGAAAUGCGUAGAUAUUGGGUAGAACACCAGUGGCGAAGGCGAGUAUCUGGACUGUAACUGACGCUGAGGCACGAAAGCAUGGGGAUCAAACAGGAUUAGAUACCCUGGUAGUCCAUGCUGUAAACGAUGAAUGCUAGUUGUCGGCAAAAGCCGGUGACGCAGUUAACGCGAUAAGCAUUCCGCCUGGGGAGUACGGUCGCAAGAUUAAAACUCAAAGGAAUUGACGGGGACCCGCACAAGCGGUGGAGCAUGUGGUUUAAUUCGAUGCAACGCGAAGAACCUUACCAACUCUUGACAUCCUCAUCGGAGCUUUCAGAGAUGAGAGCUUUCAGUUAGGCUGGAUGAGUGACAGAUGCUGCAUGGCUGUCGUCAGCUCGUGUCGUGAGAUGUUGGGUUAAGUCCCGCAACGAGCGCAACCCCUGCUACCAGUUGCCAUCAAGUAAAGUUGGGCACUCUGGUGGGACUGCCGGUGAUAAGCCGGAGGAAGGUGGGGAUGACGUCAAGUCAU